UUGAUAUCCAAGAGUAAGCCAAAGGAAAAUUAGAAGGCAUUCUAAUGAGAAGCUAAACUUUGUAAAGAAAUCAGCAAAGAUAGAUUCUACCCUUGAGAUUAGGAUAACAUUUUGCUUAAGACUUGGCAGAGUAGAAUUUAUUGCUUAUAGGCCAUAGCCUUGCCAUACAUAGAAUUUUAGGUCUGUUAAUGUGAUUAGACAACAGGGGGUAUACUAUUGACAGACACUUGAUGGCUCAGACUCAAUAAGACCAACCAGCUGAG
Molecule: unclassified non-coding RNA, 263 nt
Filed under: Hevea brasiliensis (rubber tree)
Lineage: Eukaryota; Viridiplantae; Streptophyta; Magnoliopsida; Malpighiales; Euphorbiaceae
Source: RNAcentral